This 73-nucleotide transfer RNA is filed under the name Streptococcus mutans NN2025. RNAcentral describes it as "tRNA-Arg". It matches the Rfam family "tRNA". From Rfam's summary of the family: Transfer RNA (tRNA) molecules are approximately 80 nucleotides in length. Their secondary structure includes four short double-helical elements and three loops (D, anti-codon, and T loops). The record is from RNAcentral. Lineage: Bacteria; Bacillati; Bacillota; Bacilli; Lactobacillales; Streptococcaceae.
GCACCCUUGGCUCAACUGGAUAGAGUACCUGACUACGAAUCAGGCGGUUGCAGGUUCGAAUCCUGCAGGGUGC